GGCUGUGGCUCAGUGGUAGAGCACUUGCCUGGUAUGCACAAGACCCUGGGUUUGAUGCCCAGAACCA
RNAcentral lists this transfer RNA (67 nucleotides) under Marmota monax (woodchuck). RNAcentral's name for it is "tRNA.Thr". The stretch from base 6 to 62 matches the Rfam family "tRNA", at positions 8 to 63 of the family's 71-position model. Rfam says of the family: Transfer RNA (tRNA) molecules are approximately 80 nucleotides in length. Their secondary structure includes four short double-helical elements and three loops (D, anti-codon, and T loops). The record is from RNAcentral. Lineage: Eukaryota; Metazoa; Chordata; Mammalia; Rodentia; Sciuridae.